CAUCAUUGCUUCUAUCCAUCACGAUCUUCUUUCCCCAGCAUGAUUAUCAUUUACCUUUCUUCUUCUUACAAGUAGCAUGCUAUUUUUUAGAUUAAAAAGGGGUAUACAAUAAUAAAUAGUUAAUGGUUAAUUAUCAAACAAAUCCUAUAGCAAAUCCAUCGUCUUUAAAAAAAACUGCUAAAAGUACAGAAUGGUGUUGCUAGCACACACUGACGAACGUGUUUCUUGGAGCAGUGCUAUAUGAAAGCUGUAUCCUAGAAGUAUAGCACAUGGUAUGGAAUAUGGCAGCUGCAUUGAUCUUUACUGUGUAAGCAGAGCUGCUGCCAAGACUUACAAGGCCCCAAACAAGAUGUUGGAGCCACUCCCAGAAAACAUGAUACAGCAAUACAAUGACGACCUAGUACCAACUGAAAGUGGCUGAAACACACUUCAACCUCUACUAUCUCUUUGUGUGAUGUCUCAAGAUCUGCUUCAAAGCUGAGAUCUAGCAUACAGGGCAGACAAUGAAUUGUUGCACAAUAUUUCUACAUGACUGUAAAAGGAGGAGAAAAAUCAUUAUUCUCCAGUUCAUUUGCUUUGUACCUGAUCGUCCAAUGGUAGUUCACAGAAGGCUGGAAUAUAUUUAGCCCACUCUACAAGGACCAAGAGCUGUUGCUUCAUAGAUUCACAGACAUCGCUAAUACUGGCAAGUUUCUUUACAUUGAUGUCAGUACUAGCACCAGGACUCGAGACAGGGAUCUAGCCAUGUUAAGCAAAAACAAAAAACAAAACAAAAAAAAUACAGCCUGUUAGUAUUCCAUAUUUGUUACUGUUUCCACUGGCGAGGAGUAUAUUUAACCAAAACACAUGGAAGUAAGCAUGCACAUUAGUGCCGAACUCCCCGACAAUAUAUAGAUGACCAAUAUGCAUGUAAAUGAUAAUGUUUGUCCCUCAUUGUUACUAGUAUGGUGUACUUUAGCAUGAUAGUGGGAUUUUUAUUAUUAUAUUUUUACAAGAUCUUCUCAUUUCAAGAGAUGACUAUUAUUUGUAACAUUUUUAAUUUUAAAUUUUUUUUUCCUUUAAAAUGGAUGACAUUUACCUCACUUUAGAAAGAAAGGAAUGGGAAGGGAAUGUAAUAAAGUUCUAGGCACACAAAGAUAAGAGGGAAAUAUGUAUUUUCAGUGAAAAGAUAAGUAUCAUUAACUCUAGAAGAUGAAACAGGAUUUUUAAAUGCCUAAAGCAGAAAGAUUUGUAACGAUGAGAACCAGUAUGGAUAGAAGCUGGGGAUGUUUCAGAAAAUGUACUAAUAGGAGUGUAUAUAAGACCACCUGCAGUGCACAGUGUUCUGUGAAACAGAGAGAGAGGAAUCUUUCUGGGCCUGGUGCUAGAAAGCUUUUGUAUGAUUGCUGAGCCAAAUUCUUAAUGACUUUCUAAGGAAAGGAACAAUACUAAACUUGCCAUUAAGCAAUACAGGCAAGAUGACUGAAGACAAAAGUAAGGCUGAACUAGGAAAAAUAUCUCACUUAGACCUAUGGCAUCCAUCACGCUAGAAAAACCCGCACAAGAACUAGGCAACUGAGUUUCAAAACACAGAGUCUCCCGCUACUCUCCCCCUUUGGAAAUUGGGGACAGUGUGGUUUCACUACCAAGGAGGGAGUAAAGGAAUUGGGUCUCUAACACUGCAACUACCAAACCCCAUCAUGAAAUCCCACUAUGUUGCCGAGCUCACAAGAUUUUUAUUUGUUAAUGUCAGUAAACUUUGAUUUCACCACACACAAAAAAAAUAUUUCCAUUGAUAAUAAGUAAAAUUUACAGAUAGACAAAGUAAGAAAAAAGCUGCUUGAGAACUUACUGUAUUAGGGUUUGAUUUAAGGAUAUUUACUUUGAAUAUUUUGACAUGUGGUGUUGACAAUUUGUGUUUUAACAGUUAUAAAGCUUUAACUUUUUGAAUCUCAGUGUCUACUUAUAUUCAAUAAUUAUUGGUGGAACCCUCCCUGCCCCCCAAUAUCUGACUCCUCCAAAAUUUCCUGCAACUGUAAAUCAAUAAAAAUGGUGAAAAUUAAA
Long non-coding RNA from Caretta caretta (loggerhead turtle), 2043 nucleotides. RefSeq lists it as uncharacterized. The record is from RefSeq and is a predicted model, not a curated record. Lineage: Eukaryota; Metazoa; Chordata; Testudines; Cheloniidae.